Molecule: ribosomal RNA, 388 nt
Filed under: uncultured bacterium
Lineage: Bacteria
Description: bacterial SSU rRNA
Rfam family: Bacterial small subunit ribosomal RNA
Source: RNAcentral
GACGAACGCUGGCGGCGUGCUUAACACAUGCAAGUCGAGCGGUAAGGCCCUUUCGGGGGUACACGAGCGGCGAACGGGUGAGUAACACGUGGGUGACCUGCCCUCAGCUCUGGGAUAAGCCUGGGAAACUGGGUCUAAUACUGGAUAUGACUCCACGGUGCAUGUCGUGGGGUGGAAAGCCUUGUGCGGCUGAGGAUGGGCCCGCGGCCUAUCAGCUUGUUGGUGGGGUGANGGCCUACCAAGGCGACGACGGGUAGCCGGCCUGAGAGGGCGACCGGCCACACUGGGACUGAGACACGGCCCAGACCCCUACGGGAGGCAGCAGUGGGGAAUCUUGCGCAAUGGGCGAAAGCCUGACGCAGCGACGCCGCGUGAGGGAUGACGGCCU